UACGUAGGGUGCAAGCGUUAUCCGGAAUUAUUGGGCGUAAAGAGCUCGUAGGCGGUUUGUCGCGUCUGCUGUGAAAACUGGGGCUCAACCCCCAGCCUGCAGUGGGUACGGGCAGACUAGAGUGCGGUAGGGGAGAUUGGAAUUCCUGGUGUAGCGGUGGAAUGCGCAGAUAUCAGGAGGAACACCGAUGGCGAAGGCAGAUCUCUGGGCCGUAACUGACGCUGAGGAGCGAAAGCAUGGGGAGCGAACAGG
This 252-nucleotide ribosomal RNA is filed under the name uncultured bacterium. Its description in RNAcentral is "partial 16S ribosomal RNA". It matches the Rfam family "Bacterial small subunit ribosomal RNA", at positions 524 to 776 of the family's 1533-position model. The record is from RNAcentral.